RNAcentral lists this ribosomal RNA (453 nucleotides) under uncultured bacterium. RNAcentral's name for it is "bacterial SSU rRNA". It matches the Rfam family "Bacterial small subunit ribosomal RNA", at positions 340 to 786 of the family's 1533-position model. The record is from RNAcentral.
UACGGGAGGCAGCAGUGGGGAAUAUUGCACAAUGGGCGCAAGCCUGAUGCAGCCAUGCCGCGUGUAUGAAGAAGGCCUUCGGGUUGUAAAGUACUUUCAGUCGUGAGGAAGGUGUUAAGGUUAAUAACCUUAGCAAUUGACGUUAGCGACAGAAGAAGCACCGGCUAACUCCGUGCCAGCAGCCGCGGUAAUACGGAGGGUGCGAGCGUUAAUCGGAAUUACUGGGCGUAAAGGGCACGCAGGCGGUUAAUUAAGUUGGAUGUGAAAUCCCCGGGCUUAACCUGGGAAUGGCAUUCAAGACUGGUUAGCUAGAGUCUUGUAGAGGGGGUAGAAUUCCAUGUGUAGCGGUGAAAUGCGUAGAGAUGUGGAGGAAUAUCGGUGGCGAAGGCGGCCCCUGGGACAAAGACUGACGCUCAUGUGCGAAAGCGUGGGGAGCAAACAGGAUUAGAUACC